This 520-nucleotide ribosomal RNA is filed under the name uncultured Glomus. RNAcentral's name for it is "SSU rRNA". It matches the Rfam family "Eukaryotic small subunit ribosomal RNA", at positions 569 to 1091 of the family's 1831-position model. Lineage: Eukaryota; Fungi; Glomeromycota; Glomeromycetes; Glomerales; Glomeraceae. The record is from RNAcentral.
AGCAGCCGCGGUAAUUCCAGCUCCAAUAGCGUAUAUUAAAGUUGUUGCAGUUAAAAGCUCGUAGUUGAAUUUCGGGGUUAGUAGGUUGGUCAUGCCUCUGGUAUGCACUGGCCUCACUGAUUCCUCCUUCCUGAUGAGCCGUAAUGCCAUUAAUUUGGUGUUGCGGGGAAUUUGGACUGUUACUUUGAAAAAAUUAGAGUGUUUAGAGCAGGCUCACGCUUGAAUACAUUAGCAUGGAAUAAUGAAAUAGGACGUUUGACCCUAUUUUGUUGGUUUCUAGGAUCGACGUAAUGAUUAAUAGGGAUAGUUGGGGGCAUUAGUAUUCAAUUGUCAGAGGUGAAAUUCUUGGAUUUAUUGAAGACUAACUACUGCGAAAGCAUUUGCCAAGGAUGUUUUCAUUAAUCAAGAACGAAAGUUAGGGGAUCGAAGACGAUCAGAUACCGUCGUAGUCUUAACCAUAAACUAUGCCGACUAGGGAUCGGAUGAUGUUAAUUUUUUAAUGACUCAUUCGGCGCCUUAC